GACGAACCGUGCGAACGUUGUUCGGAAUCACUGGGCUUAAAGGGCGCGUAGGCGGGCUCGCCAGUCAGGGGUGAAAUCCCGCGGCUCAACCGUGGAAGUGCCUCUGAUACUGCGAGUCUCGAGGGAGGUAGGGGCGUGCGGAACUUCCGGUGGAGCGGUGAAAUGCGUAGAUAUCGGAAGGAACACCGGUGGCGAAGGCGGGUCUCUGGACAGUUCCUGACACUGAGGCACGAAGGCCAGGGGAGCAAACGGG
Molecule: ribosomal RNA, 253 nt
Filed under: uncultured bacterium
Lineage: Bacteria
Description: partial 16S ribosomal RNA
Rfam family: Bacterial small subunit ribosomal RNA
Source: RNAcentral